Molecule: long non-coding RNA, 216 nt
Organism: Drosophila eugracilis
Lineage: Eukaryota; Metazoa; Arthropoda; Insecta; Diptera; Drosophilidae
Exons: 2
Source: RefSeq, a predicted model, not a curated record
GUAAAUAUUGCCACCUAGUUGAAAACCAAACAUUGUUUAGUAACUUGGAUGAAUCCUACAAACGUAAUAUGUACAAAGAGCUCAGGUGUUUGGCUAAGCUGAAUCGUUUACUUAUGACUUUAUUAACGUCUAUCUUAUUACUAGCAUGAAUCUGAACACUUUGGUUGCUAGAAAUAUUCGAUUUUAAUUUUAAAUAAAGAUACUGUGUUAAAUGGA